AGCGAACGUUUGCGGCGGGCCUAACACAUGCAAGUCGAACGCACUAGCAAUAGUGAGUGGCGCACGGGUGCGUAACACGUGGGUAAUCAACCCUUCAGCUUGGGAUAACGACUUGAAAGGGUCGCUAAUACCGGAUACGGCGAGAGAGGCUUCGGCAUUUCUCGAGAAAGCCUCGCAAGGGGCACUGAAGGACGAGCCUGCGGCCCAUCAGCUAGUUGGUGAGGUAAGAGCUCACCAAGGCGAAGACGGGUAGCUGGUCUGAGAGGAUGAUCAGCCACACUGGAACUGAGACACGGUCCAGACUCCUACGGGAGGCAGCAGUGGGGAAUAUUGCGCAAUGGGGGAAACCCUGACGCAGCCACGCCGCGUGAGUGAUGAAGGCCUUCGGGUUGUAAAGCUCUGUCGGGAGGGACGAAGGGGAAACCCUGACGGUACCUCGCAAGAAGCACCGGCUAACUCUGUGCCAGCAGCCGCGGUAAU
RNAcentral lists this ribosomal RNA (480 nucleotides) under uncultured bacterium. RNAcentral's name for it is "bacterial SSU rRNA". It matches the Rfam family "Bacterial small subunit ribosomal RNA", at positions 29 to 524 of the family's 1533-position model. The record is from RNAcentral.